This 76-nucleotide transfer RNA is filed under the name Rhodospirillum rubrum. RNAcentral's name for it is "tRNA-Lys". It matches the Rfam family "tRNA". Rfam says of the family: Transfer RNA (tRNA) molecules are approximately 80 nucleotides in length. Their secondary structure includes four short double-helical elements and three loops (D, anti-codon, and T loops). The record is from RNAcentral. RNAcentral also lists the same sequence under 3 other names. Lineage: Bacteria; Pseudomonadati; Pseudomonadota; Alphaproteobacteria; Rhodospirillales; Rhodospirillaceae.
GGGCGUAUAGCUCAGUUGGUAGAGCAGCUGACUCUUAAUCAGCGGGUCGUAGGUUCGAAUCCUACUGCGCCCACCA